UAGAGGAAGUAAAAGUCGUAACAAGGUCUCCGUUGGUGAACCAGCGGAGGGAUCAUUACCGAGUUUACAACUCCCAAACCCCUGUGAACAUACCAAUUGUUGCCUCGGCGGAUCAGCCCGCUCCCGGUAAAACGGGACGGCCCGCCAGAGGACCCCUAAACUCUGUUUCUAUAUGUAACUUCUGAGUAAAACCAUAAAUAAAUCAAAACUUUCAACAACGGAUCUCUUGGUUCUGGCAUCGAUGAAGAACGCAGCAAAAUGCGAUAAGUAAUGUGAAUUGCAGAAUUCAGUGAAUCAUCGAAUCUUUGAACGCACAUUGCGCCCGCCAGUAUUCUGGCGGGCAUGCCUGUUCGAGCGUCAUUUCAACCCUCAAGCCCCCGGGUUUGGUGUUGGGGAUCGGCGAGCCCUUGCGGCAAGCCGGCCCCGAAAUCUAGUGGCGGUCUCGCUGCAGCUUCCAUUGCGUAGUAGUAAAACCCUCGCAACUGGUACGCGGCGCGGCCAAGCCGUUAAACCCCCAACUUCUGAAUGUUGACCUCGGAUCAGGUAGGAAUACCCGCUGAACUUAAGCAUAUCAA
RNAcentral lists this ribosomal RNA (575 nucleotides) under Fusarium verticillioides. Its description in RNAcentral is "eukaryotic LSU rRNA". The stretch from base 207 to 360 matches the Rfam family "5.8S ribosomal RNA". Lineage: Eukaryota; Fungi; Ascomycota; Sordariomycetes; Hypocreales; Nectriaceae. The record is from RNAcentral.